Molecule: ribosomal RNA, 301 nt
Filed under: uncultured bacterium
Lineage: Bacteria
Description: partial 16S ribosomal RNA
Rfam family: Bacterial small subunit ribosomal RNA
Source: RNAcentral
CAGCACGCGGUAAUACGUAGGUGGCAAGCGUUGUCCGGAAUUAUUGGGCGUAAAGGGCUCGCAGGCGGUUUCUUAAGUCUGAUGUGAAAGCCCCCGGCUCAACCGGGGAGGGUCAUUGGAAACUGGGAAACUUGAGUGCAGAAGAGGAGAGUGGAAUUCCACGUGUAGCGGUGAAAUGCGUAGAGAUGUGGAGGAACACCAGUGGCGAAGGCGACUCUCUGGUCUGUAACUGACGCUGAGGAGCGAAAGCGUGGGGAGCGAACAGGAUUAGAUACCCCUGUAGUCCCUGUCUCUUAUACAC